RNAcentral lists this transfer RNA (76 nucleotides) under Peptococcaceae bacterium. Its description in RNAcentral is "tRNA-Ala". It matches the Rfam family "tRNA". Rfam says of the family: Transfer RNA (tRNA) molecules are approximately 80 nucleotides in length. Their secondary structure includes four short double-helical elements and three loops (D, anti-codon, and T loops). Further hydrogen bonds mediate the characteristic L-shaped molecular structure. tRNAs have two regions of fundamental functional importance: the anti-codon, which is responsible for specific mRNA codon recognition, and the 3' end, to which the tRNAs corresponding amino acid is attached (by aminoacyl-tRNA synthetases). tRNAs cope with the degeneracy of the genetic code in two manners: having more than one tRNA (with a specific anti-codon) for a particular amino acid; and 'wobble' base-pairing, i.e. permitting non-standard base-pairing at the 3rd anti-codon position. Lineage: Bacteria; Bacillati; Bacillota; Clostridia; Eubacteriales; Peptococcaceae. The record is from RNAcentral.
GGGGGUAUAGUUCAGCUGGGAGAGCACCUGCCUUGCAAGCAGGGGGUCAGCAGUUCGAUUCUGCUUAUCUCCACCA